RNAcentral lists this ribosomal RNA (497 nucleotides) under uncultured bacterium. Its description in RNAcentral is "partial 16S ribosomal RNA". It matches the Rfam family "Bacterial small subunit ribosomal RNA", at positions 28 to 507 of the family's 1533-position model. The record is from RNAcentral.
GAUGAACGCUGGCGGCGUGCCUAAUACAUGCAAGUCGAGCGAACGGACGAGAAGCUUGCUUAUCUGAUGUUAGCGGCGGACGGGUGAGUAACACGUGGAUAACCUACCUAUAAGACUGGGAUAACUUCGGGAAACUGUAGCUAAUACCGGAUAAUAUUUUGAACCGCAUGGUUCAAAAGUGAAAGACGGUCUUGCUGUCACUUAUAGAUGGAUCCGCGCUGCAUUAGCUAGUUGGUAAGGUAACGGCUUACCAAGGCAACGAUGCAUAGCCGACCUGAGAGGGUGAUCGGCCACACUGGAACUGAGACACGGUCCAGACUCCUACGGGAGGCAGCAGUAGGGAAUCUUCCGCAAUGGGCGAAAGCCUGACGGAGCAACGCCGCGUGAGUGAUGAAGGUCUUCGGAUCGUAAAACUCUGUUAUUAGGGAAGAACAUAUGUGUAAGUAACUGUGCACAUCUUGACGGUACCUAAUCAGAAAGCCACGGCUAACUACGUG